GGAAAGGCGUCCUAUGGCCGGCUAGGCUGCCGCCCCCUUGGAUGCUGUGGUUGUAAGGUGGGUGACCGACCGACAUCACUUGGGGUCUGUGUGCCUUACGAACCCGCUUUCACAGCGCUUCUAGCUGGCCCCUGAGCACCGCGGGCCUCCGCCUCCCGGAAGCCCUCCGGGUCCCCCCGCCCCGGCGCGCCCCCCGCUCCGCCGGCUCCGGGGCGCCUAGGGCGCUGCUCCCGCCCCCCACGCGGGUAUCGCCGGUGUCGGGGCGCCCAGGAGGAAGUCCUCCGGCGCCUCGAGUCCCGGCGGAGCCCGCACGGGAGCCGUGGCGGCCGCGAGACGCCUGGGGCCUCCGGGAGGUGGGAGAGUCCAGGGACUACGGCAGCCCCGAGCUUGGGGCACACCCACGGACAGGCCCGGAGGCUGGUCCCCGCGGCUCUUACUGUUUCACGUUGUCCCCCAGCGCCUCGCUCAAGUUCUUCUUGGCUGCCUCCAGCUCGCUCACAAAGGUCGCCAUUGCAGCGCGCGUCUUUCAGCCCGACCGUAGACCGUGCGGCCCACGGCCACCAGCAACCGAAAGAUCAACGCGGCGGAAGGCCUGCGCGCCGGACGCUGGAGGCUCGACUCGACUCGACUUCACUCGGAUCGGCUCGGAUCGGCUCGGAUCGGCUCGGCGGCCCCGCCCCCAGCCGCUCGGGAGACGUUGCGUGGGUUUGGUUCUCGGCCCCGCCCGUCUCGCAGUCGGGAAAGCACACAGCCAAACUCCGUUUUCCAACUCCCGCCUCUUGGGUCACGUGACCCGCUUCCCCUAGUGGGCGCGAGUCCAACCUACGCCCGCCUGCCCGCGGCGGCCCCCGGGGCGCGAACUUGACCGCCCCCCCCCCGGGCCCGCCAGGCCCCUCCCUGACUGCAGGUCAGCUCUUCCCAGAAGGAAGAGCUCAGGUCCCCGAGUGCAUGCAAUAUCUAACUUAUCCUCUUGUCCUCAUUUUUUUGCCAAGUGCUCACCACCUAUUGUGACAUUUAGUUGGUCGAUCUCGUUUUCUGCCUCCUGCAACUAAAACGAGAGCUCCCUAAAGGCAGGAUUUGUGUUACUCAAGUUCUGAACAUUCACUAUUGACUGAUCAAAUAAAAAUAAUUCCCAAGCAGGACUACCAAAGCUCCUAGGGGAGGUAACAGGAGGAGUCUCAGCGACUAAUUAGCCUGACCCACAGAGGAAAAGACGCAAAGAACCCCGUUUCAAGUCAAGGUCAAGUGGAAGGACCCACAAGCUAGCUUGUCCUCUGACCUCCCUAUGCACGCUCAGAUUCCAAAUUCACACUCGAAUAUGCACAUAUAUACUACCCUAGGAAGCCAUAGCGGUGUUCAGCUUAAAACUUUUUAAAGCCUACUUUUAAAGUCUCUCUCUCUCUCUCUCUCUCUCUCUCUCUCUCUCUCUCUCUCUCUCUCUCGUUUUGAGGCAGAGUGGCCUUUUAACUUACCGAGAUCCAAAUGCCUCUGCCUCCCAAGUACUGGGACUAAAGGCAUGGGUCACCAUGCCCAGCUUGUUUGUUCUUGAAAUAGGGUCUCUCUUUGUAGCCCUGGCUAUCCGACACCAGGCUAUUAUUUUGCCUUAAUGUUCAUACUUUUAAUGACAGCAUAAUUUUUUAAAGAUUUUAUUUUUAGGUAGAUGUCGUUGUGAGUGAGUUUACAGGUGGUUGUGAGCAGGGGCCCUGUUAAAUACUGCACAGAUAAGAUGCAUACAAUGACUUCUUUCCUGACUAUUAAACUGGGUUUUUCUCCGGUAUUAAAAGAAAUAUUUUAACAAGCA
This 1801-nucleotide long non-coding RNA is filed under the name Mus caroli (Ryukyu mouse). RNAcentral describes it as "lncRNA (MGP_CAROLIEiJ_G0004555.1)". The record is from RNAcentral. Lineage: Eukaryota; Metazoa; Chordata; Mammalia; Rodentia; Muridae.